Long non-coding RNA from Lontra canadensis (Northern American river otter), 538 nucleotides. RefSeq lists it as uncharacterized. The transcript has 3 exons. Lineage: Eukaryota; Metazoa; Chordata; Mammalia; Carnivora; Mustelidae. The record is from RefSeq and is a predicted model, not a curated record.
GCCGCCCCCUUCCCUGCCUGCCACACAGCUGUUUUGCCAACAUUGCUGCCUGAUUAUCUUUCAAGUGGCUUCUUGGAGCAGAUGUUCCGGCUCCUUCCUGCAUCGAAAACAAACAGGCGCUCUGUUGUCGUUUGCUCUCCUGGGGAAAAUCCCUCUGCUGCUGCAGAUUCUUCUUGAGAGGUUCAGGGACUUCUGUGAAGUCUUUCCCAGCUGCUCCUUGCCAGGAAUUUGCCUCCAGAUGGAUGACAGGGGCUCCUCAGGUCUUCCGAGGUCCAAAACCUCUGCAAGUCUGGCGUCUGGGCUUACCUUCAGAAUGUUCCUCCAGUCGGCUGCGUCUCUCCCACUCUGGUGCGGCUGUCCCUCUGCACCAAGCCGCCAGCCUCAUGACCCGGAUGUCCUCAGAAAAUGCCUGCUGCUCCCCCUGCCCUAAGUCAUUCCUUGACACCACUCAAGGAGGAGGUUUUGGAAUACCUGCUUUGUGCUUAGUCUUUUGAUAAGAAUCUGUGAGAUUAUGGGAGAAGGAGAUGCUAUCCUGGGC